This 326-nucleotide long non-coding RNA is filed under the name Musa acuminata (dwarf banana). Its description in RNAcentral is "long non-coding RNA (MACU_LNC010438)". Lineage: Eukaryota; Viridiplantae; Streptophyta; Magnoliopsida; Zingiberales; Musaceae. The record is from RNAcentral.
UUCUUGAUUCCCCAUUUGUAACACAUGAAAGAGAAUCGAAUUUGUUAUAUAUAUUUAAUUUUUUAACUUUUUUAAUGUUUGAUCUUAUGUAAUCCUCUUUAGGAUAUUUCUAUUGGUUUUUUUUUUUUAAUCUUGUACAAGAUUUUUUGACCCUCUUUUUUCUUGGUUCGAAUUUUGAAAUUUUAUUUUAAUAGAAUCAUUAAUGUUUUGAUUUUUACUAAUAUUAUUUUGAUUUUGAUUUUUACUAAUAUUUUUUUAAUUUUUAUUUUUACUAAUAUUAUUUUGAUUUUGAUUUUUACUAAUAUUAUUUUGAUUUUGAUUUUUAC